AUGGUUGAAACUGAGAAACAUUUGGUAUUUUGACUGGUAUACAAACUUAUUGAGUUGGCCUUGAUAUUGCCGGUGUCAACGGUAUCUGUUGAAAGAGCUUUUUCAGGAAUGAAGAUUAUCAAGACUAAACUACGUAGCAAGAUCAAUAAUGAAUGGUUCAAUGACUUGUUGAUGAUAAGGAUAUUAUUCGAACAUUUACUGCAAUGA
Molecule: ribosomal RNA, 207 nt
Filed under: Triticum aestivum (bread wheat)
Lineage: Eukaryota; Viridiplantae; Streptophyta; Magnoliopsida; Poales; Poaceae
Description: partial small subunit ribosomal RNA
Source: RNAcentral